CUUAAUUCUUUGAUCUACACUCAAUGAUGAAAACAAAAAUAACUUAUGUUCCAAAACAAAUGUUUGUUGUAAUUUUCUUUUUAUAGGACAUGCAUGUGUAUUAUCAAUCACCAUAUUUGUCUUGCUGUUAAUUGUUCUAGUCAUGGAUGGGGCCCACAAGUUUCAUUUCUCACAAGUUUGCUCUUUGGUGUAAUUGAGUUGCAUAAUGGUGUAACAAAAAUUUAAAUGCGGUGUAAUCGAGUUUCAACAAAUUAUGAAGCUCUAACAAAAAAAAAGUAAUAAAAAAGAAGGGAUGACUAG
This 300-nucleotide long non-coding RNA is filed under the name Coffea arabica (coffee). RNAcentral describes it as "long non-coding RNA (CARA_LNC006338)". Lineage: Eukaryota; Viridiplantae; Streptophyta; Magnoliopsida; Gentianales; Rubiaceae. The record is from RNAcentral.